This 898-nucleotide ribosomal RNA is filed under the name uncultured Verrucomicrobiota bacterium. Its description in RNAcentral is "bacterial SSU rRNA". It matches the Rfam family "Bacterial small subunit ribosomal RNA", at positions 58 to 928 of the family's 1533-position model. Lineage: Bacteria; Pseudomonadati; Verrucomicrobiota. The record is from RNAcentral.
CAAGUCGAGCGCUGAUUACAAGGUAGCAAUAUUUUGUAGUCGGAGCGGCGCAAGGGUGCGUAACACGUGGGCAAUCUGCCGUGAAGUUUGGGACAACUUGCUGAAAGGCGAGCUAAUACCGGAUGUAAAAAUUGGGAGGCAUCUUCUGAUUUUCAAAGCUGGGGACCGUAAGGCCUGGCGCUUCAUGAUGAGCCCGCGGCCUAUCAGCUAGUUGGUGAGGUAACGGCUCACCAAGGCUAAGACGGGUAGCUGGUCUGAGAGGACGACCAGCCACACUGGAACUGAGACACGGUCCAGACACCUACGGGUGGCAGCAGUCGAGAAUUUUUCACAAUGGGCGAAAGCCUGAUGGAGCGACGCCGCGUGGGGGAUGAAUGGCUUCGGCCCGUAAACCCCUGUCAUUUGCGAUCAAACCUCAUUAUUUAAAAGAUGAUGAGCUGAUAGUAGCGAAAGAGGAAGGGACGGCUAACUCUGUGCCAGCAGCCGCGGUAAUACAGAGGUCCCAAGCGUUGUUCGGAUUCACUGGGCGUAAAGGGUGCGUAGGUGGCGAGGUAAGUCGGAUGUGAAAGCUCGGAGCUCAACUCCGAAAUGGCAUUGGAAACUACCUUGCUCGAGGGUUGGAGGGGGGACCGGAAUUCUCGGUGUAGCAGUGAAAUGCGUAGAUAUCGAGAGGAACACCAGUGGCGAAGGCGAGUCCCUGGACAACUCCUGACACUGAGGCACGAAAGCUAGGGGAGCAAACAGGAUUAGAUACCCUGGUAGUCCUAGCCGUAAACGGUGCAUGUUUGCUGUAAAAGGAUUCGACCCCUUUUGUGGCGUAGCUAACGCGAUAAACAUGCCGCCCGGGAAGUACGGUCGCAAGAUUAAAACUCAAAGAAAUUGACGGGGGCCUGCACAA